RNAcentral lists this transfer RNA (49 nucleotides) under Cottus gobio (bullhead). RNAcentral's name for it is "partial tRNA-Val". The record is from RNAcentral. Lineage: Eukaryota; Metazoa; Chordata; Actinopteri; Perciformes; Cottidae.
GCAUCUCCCUUACACUGAGAAGUCACCCGUGCAAGCCGGGUCGCCCUGA